AGGAAAAGAAACCAACAGGGAUUGCCCUAGUAACGGCGAGUGAAGCGGCAACAGCUCAAAUUUGAAAUCUGGCGCAAGCCCGAGUUGUAAUUUGUAGAGGAUGCUUCUAGGUAGCGACCGGUCUAAGUUCCUUGGAACAGGACGUCAUAGAGGGUGAGAAUCCCGUAUGUGACUGGCCCGCACCUUCUACGUAGCUCCUUCGACGAGUCGAGUUGUUUGGGAAUGCAGCUCUAAAUGGGAGGUAAAUUUCUUCUAAAGCUAAAUACCGGCCAGAGACCGAUAGCGCACAAGUAGAGUGAUCGAAAGAUGAAAAGCACUUUGGAAAGAGAGUUAAAAAGCACGUGAAAUUGUUGAAAGGGAAGCGCUCACAACCAGACUUCUAGGCAGUGUUCCGCCGGUCUUUUGACCGGUCUACUCUCUGUCUCGAGGCCAACAUCAUCUGGGACCGCUGGAUAAGACCUUAGGAAUGUAGCUCCCCUCGGGGAGUGUUAUAGCCUCUGGUGAUGCAGCGAGUCUCGGGUGAGGUCCGCGCUUCGGCAAGGAUGUUGGCGUAAUGGUUGUCAGCGGCCCGUCUUGAAACACGGACCAAGGAGUCUAACAUCUAUGCGAGUGUUCGGGUGUCAAACCCCUACGCGUAAUGAAAGUGAACGGAGGUGGGAAGCGUAAGCUGCACCAUCGACCGAUCCUGAUGUCCUCGGAUGGAUUUGAGUAAGAGCAUAGCUGUUGGGACCCGAAAGAUGGUGAACUAUGCCUGAAUAGGGUGAAGCCAGAGGAAACUCUGGUGGAGGCUCGCAGCGGUUCUGACGUGCAAAUCGAUCGUCAAAUUUGGGUAUAGGGGCGAAAGACUA
Molecule: ribosomal RNA, 848 nt
Filed under: Ramularia unterseheri
Lineage: Eukaryota; Fungi; Ascomycota; Dothideomycetes; Mycosphaerellales; Mycosphaerellaceae
Description: eukaryotic LSU rRNA
Rfam family: Eukaryotic large subunit ribosomal RNA
Source: RNAcentral